UUUGGUACGGAAUAGCCUCUGGAAACGGAGAGUANUACCGUAUGAGCCCUUCGGGGGAAAGAUUUAUCGCCAAAGGAUUGGCCCGCGUUAGAUUAGGUAGUUGGUGGGGUAAUGGCCUACCAAGCCUACGAUCUAUAGCUGGUUUUAGAGGAUGAUCAGCAACACUGGGACUGAGACACGGCCCAGACUCCUACGGGAGGCAGCAGUGGGGAAUCUUGGACAAUGGGGGCAACCCUGAUCCAGCCAUGCCGCGUGAGUGAUGAAGGCCUUAGGGUCGUAAAGCUCUUUCGCCUGUGAAGAUAAUGACGGUAGCAGGUAAAGAAACCCCGGCUAACUCCGUGCCAGCAGCCGCGGUAAUACGGAGGGGGUUAGCGUUGUUCGGAAUUACUGGGCGUAAAGCGCACGUAGGCGGACUGGAAAGUUGGGGGUGAAAUCCCAGGGCUCAACCCUGGAACUGCCUCCAAAAACUAUCAGUCUAGAGUUCGAGAGA
Molecule: ribosomal RNA, 490 nt
Filed under: Ruegeria sp. HR08-22
Lineage: Bacteria; Pseudomonadati; Pseudomonadota; Alphaproteobacteria; Rhodobacterales; Roseobacteraceae
Description: bacterial SSU rRNA
Rfam family: Bacterial small subunit ribosomal RNA
Source: RNAcentral